RNAcentral lists this unclassified non-coding RNA (268 nucleotides) under Hevea brasiliensis (rubber tree). The record is from RNAcentral. Lineage: Eukaryota; Viridiplantae; Streptophyta; Magnoliopsida; Malpighiales; Euphorbiaceae.
AACACUUUUUUUUUUUGUUGCUCUGCAUGAAAAUGCAUAAAUUUGUGGGCAUGUCCAUUGCACAUGUCCUGUAAAUACAUUUAGAACAGAUAAAAAAUACAUAUAUUGUCAAGUAUCAGAGUGUUCAUGAUUUUUCUUGCUUGCAAGUGGGGUCUCGAAAGUCCCACCCCCAAUGUUUGCUUGUGUGUUAAAAUACAUGUUUGUGCUUAUAACUCAAGAUUGAAGAUUUAGGGCAGGCUUACUAAAUACUUUGUUGUUUGAAUCCAAU